RNAcentral lists this ribosomal RNA (1352 nucleotides) under uncultured marine eukaryote. RNAcentral describes it as "SSU rRNA". It matches the Rfam family "Eukaryotic small subunit ribosomal RNA", at positions 411 to 1775 of the family's 1831-position model. The record is from RNAcentral.
CACUUCUAAGGAAGGCAGCAGGCGCGCAAAUUACCCAAUCCGGACUCAGGGAGGUAGUGACAAGAAAUAACAAUAAACCGGCUUAUGCCGGUUUAAUUGGAAUGAGUACAAUUUAAACAUCUUAACGAGGAACAAUUGGAGGGCAAGUCUGGUGCCAGCAGCCGCGGUAAUUCCAGCUCCAAUAGCGUAUACUAAAGUUGUUGCAGUUAAAAAGCUCGUAGUUGGAUUUCUGUGGGGACGGAGCGGCCGGCCGCAACACGCGGUUCGAGCUAGCGCUUUCCCUACAUCCUGCCGCGAACCGUGCUACCAUUAAUUUGGUGGCGCCGGGGAUCGGCUCGAUUACUUUGAGAAAAAUAGAGUGUUCAAAGCAGGCCACAUGCCUUGAAUAAGUUAGCAUGGAAUAAUAACUAAGGACUUCAGUUCUAUUUUGUUGGUGUUCGGGACUGAAGUAAUGAUUGAUAGGGACAGUUGGGGCGGUCUGUAUUCCAAAGCGAGAGGUGAAAUUCUUAGACCUUCGGAAGACAAACAGCUGCGAAAGCGUUCCGCAAGGAUGUUCCCUUUGAUCAAGAACGAAAGUUGGGGGAUCGAAGACGAUCAGAUACCGUCGUAGUCUCAACUAUAAACUAUACCAGCUAGGGAUCGGCCAACGUUAUUUUAUACCGACUUGGUCGGCACCUUAUGAGAAAUCAAAGCAUCUGGGUUCCGGGGGGAGUAUGGUCGCAAGGCUGAAACUUAAAGGAAUUGACGGAAGGGCACCACCAGCCGUGGAGCCUGUGGCUUAAUUUGACUCAACACGGGAAAACUUACCAGGUCCAGACAUAGUAAGGAUUGACAGAUUGAUAGCUCUUUCUUGAUUCUGUGGGUGGUGGUGCAUGGCCGUUCUUAGUUGGUGGAGUGAUUUGUCUGGUUAAUUCCGUUAACGAACGAGACCCCAGCCUGCUAAAUAGCGCGCGUGAGCUUUGCUCGCGGCGAGCUUCUUAGGGGGACUCUGAUGCGCGAUAGCACAUGGAAGUUUGGGGCAAUAACAGGUCUGUGAUGCCCUUAGAUGUUCUGGGCCGCACACGGGCUACACUGGCGCCUGCAACGAGCAUAUCAGCUGGCCCGAGAGGGUCUUGGCUAAUCUUUUGAACCGGCGCCGUGCUUGGGAUUGACCUUUGCAAUUGUUGGUCAUGCAACGAGGAAUGCCUUGUAAACGCGAGUCAUCAGCUCGCAUUGAAUACGUCCCUGCCCUUUGUACACACCGCCCGUCGCUCCUACCGAUGAAUGUUCCGAUGAAAUUUUCGGAGAGCACCUGUGAACUUGGCUCUGCCUUGCGAACGGGAGGCUCAAAGUCACUUAAAUCUGAACAUUUC